UUCGCAAUGCCCGAAAGGGUGACGAAGCGACGCCGCGUGUGGGAAGAAGGCCUUCGGGUUGUAAACCACUGUCGGGAGUUAGGAAAUGUAAGGGUGCUAAUAGUAUCCUUACUUGACUAAGGCUCCGGAGGAAGCCACGGCUAACUCUGUGCCAGCAGCCGCGGUAAUACAGAGGCGGCAAGCGUUGUUCGGAAUUAUUGGGCGUAAAGAGCACGUAGGCGGCCUUGUAAGUCAGUUGUGAAAGCCUUCUGCUUAACGGAAGAACAGCAGCUGAUACUGCAAGGCUAGAGUGCGGAAGGGGAGAGUGGAACUUCUGGUGGAGCGGUGAAAUGCGUAGAUAUCAGAAGGAACACCGGCGGCGAAGGCGACUCUCUGGUCCGUAACUGACGCUGAGUGUGCGGAAGCUAGGGGAGCAAACGGGAUUAGAUACCCCGGUAGUCCUAGCCGUAAAC
Molecule: ribosomal RNA, 452 nt
Filed under: uncultured bacterium
Lineage: Bacteria
Description: bacterial SSU rRNA
Rfam family: Bacterial small subunit ribosomal RNA
Source: RNAcentral